UACGGGAGGCAGCAGUGGGGAAUAUUGCACAAUGGGCGAAAGCCUGAUGCAGCUAUGCCGCGUGUAUGAAGAAGGCCUUAGGGUUGUAAAGUACUUUCAUCGGGGAGGAAAAAACAAAACUAAUAAUUUUAUUUCUUGACGUUACCCGAAAAAGAAGCACCGGCUAACUCCGUGCCAGCAGCCGCGGUAAUACGGAGGGUGCUAGCGUUAAUCAGAAUUACUGGGCGUAAAGAGCACGUAGGUGGUUUUUUAAGUUAGAUGUGAAAUCCCUGGGCUUAACCUAGGAACUGCAUUUUGAAACUGAAAUACUAGAGUAUCGUAGAGGGAGGUAGAAUUCUAGGUGUAGCGGUGAAAUGCGUAGAUAUCUGGAGGAAUACCUGUGGCGAAAGCGGCCUCCUAAACGAAUACUGACACUGAGGGUGCGAAAGCGUGGGGAGCAAACAGGGAUUAGAUACC
This 456-nucleotide ribosomal RNA is filed under the name uncultured bacterium. RNAcentral describes it as "bacterial SSU rRNA". It matches the Rfam family "Bacterial small subunit ribosomal RNA", at positions 340 to 786 of the family's 1533-position model. The record is from RNAcentral.